RNAcentral lists this ribosomal RNA (460 nucleotides) under uncultured bacterium. Its description in RNAcentral is "partial 16S ribosomal RNA". It matches the Rfam family "Bacterial small subunit ribosomal RNA", at positions 338 to 795 of the family's 1533-position model. The record is from RNAcentral.
CCUACGGGGGGCUGCAGUGAGGAAUAUUGGUCAAUGGACGAGAGUCUGAACCAGCCAAGUCGCGUGCAGGAUGACUGCCCUAUGGGUUGUAAACUUCUUUUAUAUGGGAGUAAAAUUUUCCACGUGUGUGAUUCUGUAUGUACCAUAUGAAUAAGGAUCGGCUAACUCCGUGCCAGCAGCCGCGGUAAUACGGAGGAUCCGAGCGUUAUCCGGAUUUAUUGGGUUUAAAGGGUGCGUAGGUGGAUUGAUAAGUCAGUUGUGAAAGGUUGCGGCUUAACCGUAGAACUGCAGUUGAUACUGGCAGUCUUGAGUACAGUAGAGGUAGGCGGAAUGCGUGGUGUAGCGGUGAAAUGCUUAGAUAUCACGAAGAACACCGAUUGCGAAGGCAGCUCACUGGACUACAACUGACACUGAGGCUCGAAAGUGUGGGUAGCAAACAGGAUUAGAUACCCCAGUAGUC